AUUGUUUCUCAGCCUUUUGGCUAAGAUCCAGUGUGGUAUCUGUCCUUAUCAGUUUAAUAUCUGAUACAUCCUCUAUCUGAGGACAAUAUUUAAAAAAAAAUAUGAAAGAAAAAAAUAUAU
Molecule: small nuclear RNA, 120 nt
Filed under: Tupaia belangeri chinensis (Chinese tree shrew)
Lineage: Eukaryota; Metazoa; Chordata; Mammalia; Scandentia; Tupaiidae
Description: Tupaia chinensis (Chinese tree shrew) U2 spliceosomal RNA
Rfam family: U2 spliceosomal RNA
About the family: U2 is a small nuclear RNA (snRNA) component of the spliceosome (involved in pre-mRNA splicing). Complementary binding between U2 snRNA (in an area lying towards the 5' end but 3' to hairpin I) and the branchpoint sequence (BPS) of the intron results the bulging out of an unpaired adenosine, on the BPS, which initiates a nucleophilic attack at the intronic 5' splice site, thus starting the first of two transesterification reactions that mediate splicing.
Source: Rfam by way of RNAcentral